Molecule: long non-coding RNA, 157 nt
Organism: Haliotis rubra (blacklip abalone)
Lineage: Eukaryota; Metazoa; Mollusca; Gastropoda; Lepetellida; Haliotidae
Exons: 3
Source: RefSeq, a predicted model, not a curated record
AUGUCAUCGUAUCACAAAUUUCUGUCUAAUCUGUCUGUCCGUAUACAAGAGUAGUUAUUGAGCUAUAAAAACAAUAACAUGGAAUUGGGAUUCGUAACUUUGUACUUCUAUGUCAGGUACACACCAAUAUCAAAGUCAAAGGACAAAAUACAAUUUU